This is an RNA transcript of Microplitis mediator, 6365 nucleotides long. It is a transcript of the gene named WD repeat-containing protein 81, with no coding region annotated. The transcript has 11 exons. Lineage: Eukaryota; Metazoa; Arthropoda; Insecta; Hymenoptera; Braconidae. The record is from RefSeq and is a predicted model, not a curated record.
UGAAGUUUGACAAUCUCAGGCCGACUCACUAAACAAAUUAAUUUAUACGUUCCAAUAAAAAUAAACACGACUUCUACUGUACAUACAUUAGUUUUAAGGAAUAACGACAACCAAUUUUCUAUUCAUCACCAAAAUUUAAAACCCUAAAUAACAAAACUAUUUCGUUCUUUGUAAGUAAAAAAAAAAAUUUUAAAUUCCUUUUUUUUGAAUUUUGAUCUGUCAGAAAAAUUAAUUCGAACUCUCAUUUACUGUAUGAGUGCAACAAAGAUAAUUCUGUGAGAUAUAAUAGGUGACAUUUACCCGUAAAAAUAAAUAAUAAAAAAAAUGGAUAUUUUAAACUCCGAAUUUGAUGUACCAAUGAAAUACAUGCAAUCAAUCGAUGGAAGAAUAUGUGCGACAGUAAACAGAAAUUGGCUGACAAAUUUAAAAAAUCUUGGUAAAAUUAAUUUUUUAACACACGAUCGUCUGUCUGCUGAUGAAAUUGCAGCACAGCCUUCUCUCGAAGAACUAGGAUCUAAUUGGACACGUAUUUAUAUUAAAGUUUAUGAAAAACAAUUUAGUAAUGCUAUACCACUACCACGAGAUAAACAUUCCACAAAUAUUAAAAUCCAAUCAGAUCUUACAUUUUCACAACUUUUACGUUACGUCUCCGAAACAAAUUAUCGUAAUUUAUGGAAAGAGUCAUACAAAAAAUACUACAGUAUAUGGAAUCUACAUGAAUCUAAAGAACAAACAUUACUGACACCAAGUAGUAAUGACGUUGCAGUAAUGCAUGAAGUAUUGUCAAGACUUUACGGUUGUCCACUGAUCCAUGUUAAAAAUAACCAAGUAAUUUCAGUAACACCUGGUGUAAAUAAUAAUUAUAACUUACAUUGCAACCUUUUACCCGCAAUGUUUGCCGUUGAAACGACGUCAGCUUUCAUGAUAUUUCAUGAACAAACAGCUAAAUUUUCCCUCCAUGAGUGUGUGAUGUACAGUCCUGCCACAUUGUCGACCAGUUACAAUAAACCAUUAUUUUUAGUCUAUCAAUUAUUGCAUUUGUCGAGAGAUCUUCACGAUUCGGGACUAGCCCUCGGUGAAAUAACUCUCAGUGAUAUUUUAUUAAUGGAUAAUUAUACAAUACAGGUACUGCCUAAAUUGGAUGACAAUAUUUAUUUGAAACCCGACGUCCAAACUCGUGCCCUUAUAGAAGAAAAUAAACCAAUAAAUUAUACUACUAAUAAAUUAUCAUCUAAUUCGUUCAAAAUGGACGGAACGAAAGCUCCCCCGAGCUUUGGAUUAAACGAAAACAUUGAGAGUCUCUGCGAGAUGUGGAUCUACGGUCAGAUCAGCAACUACGACUACUUGACAGCGCUAAAUAAUUUAGCUGGCCGCAGAUUCGGUGAUCCAAGUUGUCAUCAUGUGAUGCCCUGGGUAACGGACUUCAGUUCGCGGUCAGGAAAAAAUUGGCGUGACCUCACCAAGUCCAAGUUCCGUUUGAACAAAGGCGACAGGCAGCUUGAUUUGACAUUCGAUUCACAGACUUCUGAAGUAGGUCAUCACGUGUCUGAUGUUUUAUCAGAAAUAACUUACUACGUAUAUUUAUCACGAAGAUACACGCGAUCGGUACUUUGUAAACAUGUGAGAUCACAUUGGGUUCCUUGGGAGUAUCCGGCGUCUAUUCAACGUCUGCAGGAAUGGAGUCCCGACGAAUGCAUUCCACAAUUUUUUACGGACCCAAAUGUUUUCAAAUCAAUCCAUGAAGAUUUACCGGACCUGGAACUGCCGAGCUGGGCGCGUUCACCCGAGGACUUUAUAGAGAAACAUCGCGAGGCCCUGGAGAGCUUCUACGUAUCGGAGAGACUGCACCACUGGAUAGACUUAACAUUUGGCUACAAAUUGUCCGGAUUGCCAGCAAUUAAGUCCAAAAAUGUGUGCCUACAACUCGUUGACAAUCAUACUAAUUUAACAAAUUCCGGAGUGGUUCAACUAUUUACUCAUCCUCACCCACAGAAAAUAGUACCGUCGCCCUACUGGAGUAAAACCGCGCCGCGGUUGCGUAAUUUAACGCCAAAGAAAUCAAAGACUGACAAAUCAACAGACAAAGUAAGCGAUGACGAAGGACAUAGUUCUGGGUUCGAAGAAGUUGAAUCUCCUGUGACGACAUUAAACGUCACAAGAUCAUCCCCUCUGGCACUGAGCCGCUUACUGAGUCGUUCGCGUGGUUCUCUGCUAGCUGCCGACGAAAACUCACGAUCAGAAAAGACAACCAGCCAGACAAUCCAACUUCCCAAAGACUACAAUCCGGUCGCUGCGCUCAACCAGGUCGAGUCAGUGCACUCGUUCAUCAGCAAAGUGUCUCACAGAAUUUAUCAACCAGAGAUAAAUAACCAAACUGGGCUCGCGAGUUACAGACAAAUAGUUGCCUGUGCUCGCAUCAAGGAGCAGCAGAUCAUCGGCUGUUUAAUUGUUGAAAUUUUUAUGCCAAAUAAAUUCCGCGCGACCUGGAAUACCAGCAGGAUAUCAUUUUCUCGUAGACUUGAAACGUGUGUCAAUGUAUUGAAUAAGUUUCCGGAUUUGCUGCCAAAGUGCGUGAGGAACGCGGUCUGUCUUUUACUUCAAGUCGACAUAAUUCCCAAAAGCUACGGUAUCAAUAACGAGUGCGACCUGACAGGAGACAUUGAUAACUUCCGGUAUCCGACGGUAACGCACAUGGGAUUGCCACCGCCUUCAGCUCACCAAUUUCUCCAGCCGAUUUUAUCCAGCAGUCUUUUACCUUCACGUUACUUCCAGCAGCUGUUCCACGUUGUGCAGAUGCUCCAAGAGUACAACAGCCUGGUGCGUGAACUGAACUCCGUUAUUCGCGAAGACGACGCGGAGGCUUCAAAUACGCGGGUGCAAUUCUUGUGCAAAAUAAACGAGUGCAAAGUAAAAGCACUUGCUAGAGAAUUAGAGCGGCUUUUAUUAUCGUACACGGGAAAUUUGAAUGAUUUUAAUUCAAUUCUUAGAUUAAUUGUUCCUCAUAUUAAACAGAUAAUGGACGAACCCUACAGCGCAGUGUUGGCUGCUUGGUAUUUAUUCGACCCGAUAGGAAAAGCACUUGGACCAAAAGACACUGCCGAAACAUUCCUUGCGCCAAUAGUUAAAUUGUAUGAAAAUGGUUCGAUUAUUGACAGCAACAUUUACGCUGAUUAUUUACCUGUUGCGACUCUCGCUAAGUUUCGCACCAUGAGACUUUAUCACCGUAGUUUUCUUCUCAAACUGACGGUUCGUUUGGGCCUACGGCGAUUCCUAGAAAAUUUUAUUACGCCGCUGGUAGAAGCUGUCGGUUGUUAUCGAGACCACCCCCAGACCUCGAGUAUCAAUCGACAGCGAGCGGGAAAUCUCAAGAGCUGUGACCUGAGUGACAAUUGUGGCGAGGGUGAAGUGAUUUUAUCACCACUGGACGAGGAUUCUUCGGUGGACUCUGAGCAAAAUUUGAAUUCCAUCACGCUGGCCUGUGAUCCCGAAAGCUCACGCGAGACACCGACGAUAGAAAAUGAAGUCGAAGAAGUUUUCACCAUGGAAACGGAGGAAAUUUUAUCACCGUCGGACAAUAAAGUCCUGCGGGAUACCCACAUGGUGCUAAAUUUAAAUAUCAUCGACGACUUAGUCGACGAGGGAGUGCGCAAUUCACCUCCGGGUACGAUCAAGUCGCCGACGAUACCGAUACCCACUACGACGGAUCGUGGAAUUAAAUUGGUAGCAGACUUUAAUACAAUCGGCUGUCAUGUCGGAAGUAAAACAUCCAGCGAAGAUUUGCCGCUCUCUAGUUCUUACACAGGAAACAUUCAAACGUCAACUGCUGGAGAAACCAGCGCGUACGAUUCAGACAAAGCAAAGACUGCAUUUAAAAUAGACAUUGGAGCGACAUGUGAUGACGAACUGGACGAGUCUAAGGAUAAAAAUUACGAGGCCGAGGCUUUGACUCCUCGGGAAUGCAAAGUAUCGGAAAUUAGCACUGAGUCUGUCAUCUGGUUGUCGCAUCGACUGGGUCCAGUUCUUACGGCUCGUUAUCUAUCGCGAAAUCUUCUGCGCAUGCUGACACUCUGCUACGCGGGAAGCAAUAAUUUAGUAGCGAUAGACGAGGAUCUGUAUUCCGAAGAACUGCACUGGAGAAAAGUCCAGUUGGUUGGAGAUAUCAAUGCAAUGAAAGUAUUAGAAUCUUUGACAGCAAUAGCAAGUCUGUAUGGGGAACAAAUGAUCAUCUUGCAAUACUUGAGUCACAUGGCUGAAUUGCUGACGUUGUGCAAACGUAAAUUAACUCCUAACUUAGAAGGCGGACUGGUUUCAUGCCUAGCACUGCUGUCUUUCGUGACGCCCUGCCUAGGAGAUGCUUCGCUGAUGGACGCACUGCACGAGACGAUAGUAAAAUCUAUUUUACAUCCAACUGUCAGAAUUCUCUCGACCACCAGAUACUCAUUUCCCAGCGGCGUAAAUGCGCGCACUGCACUGGCCAAUAAAUGUCUCGAAGUAUUGUCGAGUCUCAGCAUCCGACUAGGCAGCGCUACCACGAAAACUCAUCUUUCUGUACCAAUCCAACGAUUUUUUUUGGCAUUCGACAAAGUUUUUAAUGCUCAGGGCCAAUUGCAAGAUGAAGAAAUUCCUAAAAAACGUGAUAAAUUUGAAGGCAAAAAAAUAAAUGACAGAAAUGAAUUUUUUAAAGAAUCAACGCAUGAUUGGACUCUAGUUGAUUCAUCUUCAAUGGGAAUUCAGGCCGCUGCAGCUGACAUGGCUGUCUCCUACUCACCUCCAAUAUUAGAUCACGACGAAACAAAUCCGCAGAGAAAUCAAGCAUUUGAAGAACUCAAAUCGGUAUUUACACUAGAGUUUGCUCACAAAGCAUAUUUACUUUUUUACCGUCACUUGGACGAAGGUGUGAUGGAAGAUUUAUUAAAAAAUCAUCAAUUGAUACGGGAGCUCUGCGAGCAGUACGAGCAAACUCUCCCUACAUGCGACAUUGGUUCAAGUAAAUCUGAUCCGACAUAUCUGCAGACUGCGGAAACUCCGUCUGAGAGCGACGUUAUCGUCAAAGGAAUCGGCAGCUUCGGUAAUAUUUCGGUAGUUGGUAAUAGAAUAGAAGUAGGCGAUACUCUGGACAAUUUAAAUCCGUCAAAUCGCGACGGGUCUGUCUCACACGGGCGCCAACUGCGUGGCAACUGGUUGGCAUACUGGGAACACGAAAUCGGUCGCCCUGACAAAGACUUGACCUUUAAUAUCAAACAAAUAAAACUCCAGAGCUUCAGCGGACACACCAAUAGCGUGAGAUGUUUGCACGUGUUGGACAACGAGAACAGUUUUAUGAGCGGUGCUCGCGACAAAACAGUAAAACUCUGGAGUAUCAGGAGCCAAGGUGACGGGACUGGAGUCUCUCCAUGCCAGUACACCUACACAGGGCACAAAAAAUCAAUUUUAGCUUUGACAUUCUUAGAAUCUCUACGAUACGCGGUUACUUGUGACGGCGCAGUCCACUGCUGGGAUCCAUUUAUGGGCUCAUUGCUCGGCUGUCCCGAGAGUGCACGCGCAGCUCCCGUUAAUGCUCUGGCAGCAAAUAAUACGCCUUCGACAUCACUAUUAGCAGCGACUACUGACGUGACACUUCACGUCAUAGACUGCCGUACUUUCUCGUACGUAAACGAGUUAAAAGUAGCCAUCAAUCCCGCGGGAUUGAUCAGGUGCAUCGCCGUGGCACCAAGUGGACACUGGGUAGCACUCGGCCAGGCCUCAGGAGUUCUUACCAUCCUUGACAUCAGGACCGGUCUGAUAAUCGCCUCAUGGAAGGGCCACGAGUGUGAAAUCCUACAGCUGGAAGCAGUUAACGAGACCACUAUCGUCAGUUCGUCACUGGACCAAACGAUUGCCGUGUGGAGUGCCGUCGACGGUAAAUUAAAAUUCCAUUUAAAAGGCGCCACUGAACCUGUUCACUGCAUGGCGCUCUACGAACAACAACUGAUUUCCGGUACAACCGCGAACCGAAUCGGCGUACACGCGGCAGUUGACAAUACCGCGGUAUUUUCAUCUUCGAAACUAAAAUCCGACGCUUUUAAAGGCGUACUCACUGCUAUGACCGUACUACCGCUAAAUAGACUUCUACUACUGGGAUCUGACAAUGGCGGUAUCACUUUACUCUGUUAAUUUAUUUACCUGAAAUAUAUUUAUUGCAUUGCGACGUCAGUUCUGGCUUUUAAAACCAUAAGAGCUGAAGAAGAGUCCAAACAACGGGAAUAAAUUUCGCGUUAUGUCAUGCUUCAAUUGAACAGCUCCACCAGCAUUGAAUUGGUUCUCCAAGACAACUCCUUCAAAGAGAUACUGGUCUAGCUGAGAGGCGACGUUCCUCCAUGCUUGAU